RNAcentral lists this ribosomal RNA (181 nucleotides) under uncultured bacterium. RNAcentral's name for it is "partial 16S ribosomal RNA". It matches the Rfam family "Bacterial small subunit ribosomal RNA", at positions 1320 to 1500 of the family's 1533-position model. The record is from RNAcentral.
GUGAAGUCGGAAUUGCUAGUAAUCGCAGAUCAGCAUGCUGCGGUGAAUACGUUCCCGGGCCUUGUACACACCGCCCGUCACAUCAUGGGAGUCGGUAACACCCGAAGCCUGUAGUCUGACCUUUUGGAGGACGCAGUCGAAGGUGGGAUCGAUGACUGGGGUGAAGUCGUAACAAGGUAGC